GGAGGGUGCGAGCGUUGUUCGGAAUCAUUGGGCGUAAAGCGCGUGUAGGCGGCUUGGUAAGUCGGGUGUGAAAGCCCGGGGCCCAACCCCGGAACUGCACUCGAUACUGCCUCGCUAGAGUCCCGGAGAGGAGAGCGGAAUUCCCGGUGUAGAGGUGAAAUUCGUAGAUAUCGGGAGGAACACCAGCGGCGAAGGCGGCUCUCUGGACGGUGACUGACGCUGAGACGCGAAAGCGUGGGGAGCAAACAGGAUUAGAUACCCUGGUAGUCCACGCCGUAAACGUUGGGUGCUAGGUGUCGCGGGUAUUGACCCCCCUGCGGUGCCGCCGCUAACGCAUUAAGCACCCCGCCUGGGGAGUACGGUCGCAAGGCUA
Molecule: ribosomal RNA, 373 nt
Filed under: uncultured organism
Description: partial 16S ribosomal RNA
Rfam family: Bacterial small subunit ribosomal RNA
Source: RNAcentral